This 253-nucleotide ribosomal RNA is filed under the name uncultured bacterium. Its description in RNAcentral is "partial 16S ribosomal RNA". It matches the Rfam family "Bacterial small subunit ribosomal RNA", at positions 524 to 776 of the family's 1533-position model. The record is from RNAcentral.
UACAGAGGUCUCAAGCGUUGUUCGGAUUCAUUGGGCGUAAAGGGUGCGUAGGUGGUGGGGUAAGUCGGAUGUGAAAUCCCGGGGCUCAACCCCGGAACUGCAUUCGAUACUGCCUUGCUCGAGUACUGGAGAGGAGACUGGAAUUUACGGUGUAGCGGUGAAAUGCGUAGAUAUCGUAAGGAAGACCAGUGGCGAAGGCGGGUCUCUGGACAGUUCCUGACGCUGAUGCGCGAAAGCCAGGGGAGCAAACGGG